Molecule: non-coding RNA, 699 nt
Organism: Myodes glareolus (Bank vole)
Lineage: Eukaryota; Metazoa; Chordata; Mammalia; Rodentia; Cricetidae
Source: RefSeq, a predicted model, not a curated record
CCAUCCCGGUGCCCGAGGGAAUGAGGGGUGGCCGCUGCCUCCGCCCCGGUGCGCUCCGCCACUGCCGCCUCCGACCCCGCAGCGCCUUGCACUUGUUGCCUUGCCCCAGAGACCAGGAGGCGGCGCCCAUCCCUCGAGCUGCCCAGCCGGCAGGGUGCAACCUCUCGCCACCUCUGCGGACCCCUGCGUCCUCGGGGACCCUGGAGAAACUUUGUCCCCGGCGAACUCAGAAAGUCAUAGCCACUUAUAAAAUACUCAGCCAUGUGAAGGGACCCCCCCCAUCUUGCUGCAUCUAGUUACUGGGUUACUCAACCCCAAGGUGAAAAUUCUCUCCAUUAUACGGCUCACCAUAAAAUGAUGUCUACAUGAACGUGAGAGAGGUGGUGGCCCCAAGAAGCUGGGCCACCAACUCUCCAAAUCAGAAGCAGGACCCCCUCCCUAACCAUCACCACCAGAUGCCCCGGGCGGGCCACCCUCCUAAUGCUCCUGGUUUAAGGAAUGACAGGAUAGCAAGAACAGAGGUCCAGGGGUCCGCGGUCUUUAGUCCUGCCCCAGCACAAACGCCGCUCUUCCUUCUUGAUAAAAGACCUGGCAUUGACCUUGUACUACUAUUGACACUUACACUCGUAUCAACCGACCUCACACUGCAGCACCUUGGGCCCCAAAGUAAGAGCCCUCACCAUUGAAGAACUUCAAGGU